RNAcentral lists this long non-coding RNA (260 nucleotides) under Vitis vinifera (wine grape). RNAcentral's name for it is "long non-coding RNA (VVIN_LNC005424)". The record is from RNAcentral. Lineage: Eukaryota; Viridiplantae; Streptophyta; Magnoliopsida; Vitales; Vitaceae.
UACGUUUCUUCAAAAAUAGUAUCUCCCUGAUUUGCAUUAAUCCCAUUGCCAUCACCAAUCGUCUCUGCCCCAAAUCUGUAAUACGACCCAGAAUCGGCACCAAACCCAUCAAUCCAUCACUGGUAUCCCGCAAUUCUUCGUGCUGCUCUAAUAACUCAAGGCGUGAUUCAAAACCCUAGUUCAAACCAUCCUUUUCAGUGCUACCCAAAUCAAUCACCUUCCUGACACUCUCCGAAACCCUCUGUUUUACAAGUCAAAUU